UAGUCCACGCCGUAAACGAUGUUCACUCGCUGUCCGCGAUACACAGUAGGCGGCUGAGCGAAAGCAUUAAGUGAACCACCUGGGGAGUGCGAUCGCAAGGUUGAAACUCAAAGGAAUUGACGGGGGCCCGCACAAGCGGAGGAACAUGUGGUUUAAUUCGAUGAUACGCGAGGAACCUUACCUGGGCUUAAAUGUAGAUUGCAUGAGGUGGAAACACUUCUUUACUUCGGUACUAUUUACAAGGUGCUGCAUGGUUGUCGUCAGCUCGUGCCGUGAGGUGUCGGGUUAAGUCCCAUAACGAGCGCAACCCCUAUCGUUAGUUGCUAGCAGGUAAUGCUGAGGACUCUAGCGAGACUGCCACCGUAAGGUGAGAGGAAGGUGGGGAUGACGUCAAAUCAUCAUGGCCCUUAUGGGUAGGGCUACACACGUACUACAAUGGAAAGUACAGAGGGUUGCGAUACCGCGAGGUGGAGCUAAUCUCAGAAAACUUUUCGUAAGUCCGGAUUGCA
This 509-nucleotide ribosomal RNA is filed under the name uncultured bacterium. RNAcentral describes it as "bacterial SSU rRNA". It matches the Rfam family "Bacterial small subunit ribosomal RNA", at positions 791 to 1302 of the family's 1533-position model. The record is from RNAcentral.